GAGAGCCGAGGUAGACCACCUCGUCGAUAGGCCAGAGAUGUAAGCGUGGUAACACGUUCAGUUGACUGGUACUAAUUGCUCGAUAGGCUUGAUUUGAUCCAG
Molecule: ribosomal RNA, 102 nt
Filed under: Sulfitobacter sp. HI0027
Lineage: Bacteria; Pseudomonadati; Pseudomonadota; Alphaproteobacteria; Rhodobacterales; Roseobacteraceae
Description: partial 23S ribosomal RNA
Rfam family: Bacterial large subunit ribosomal RNA
Source: RNAcentral